UGUCAAGUAAUUUUGUUGGAUUCCAACCCAGAUCCUAAGAAGAAAGCAAGUAAAAUAUUCAGCAUUAAGCAAUUGGCUUUGUACCUUGAAGGGAUGCUUCAACAUGACUCUUUCUAUGACUUUGAGAGUACAAUUAGGCCUAAGGUGUCUGAGUUUCCCAUUUUGGAAGCUCUCGGAAUAGGAAGACAAAGAAAUGACUCCUUUGAUUGCGGUAUUUGGGUAGCAACUUGGAUGAAGAACUACAUUUGGAUUGAUGAUUACAACAUUUAUGU
This is a non-coding RNA of Arachis ipaensis, 272 nucleotides long. Lineage: Eukaryota; Viridiplantae; Streptophyta; Magnoliopsida; Fabales; Fabaceae. The record is from RefSeq and is a predicted model, not a curated record.